Long non-coding RNA from Bos taurus (domestic cattle), 1227 nucleotides. The record is from Ensembl. Lineage: Eukaryota; Metazoa; Chordata; Mammalia; Artiodactyla; Bovidae.
CCCAUGAAGAAACUGAGGAGCUGAGAGCGUCUAUCACUCCUACUGGGUCCUAACAAGAAGGCAGAGCAUAUUUUUAGACCGAAGCAGCAGGCAGCAGAGGAUCAGUCCCCGGAAGAGGAAGCAGAAGCCUGGGGCAUGUCCCCUCCCUGCUGCGGCCUUGGGACGGGACUCGGCACAGUCUGCCUGCUGGGCAUUUGCAGGAGCAGGGCUGCGGGACUUUCAGCCGACCAGCCUUAGCCUGGAAGGUUCCAGCCCAAAGAAGCAGCCGAUUUCCCCCAGGGCGCAGACCAGGGAGGCUGGUCCCCAACGCCUUUCCAAAGCAGAGCACGAGAUGCUGAUCUCAAUUCACGCAAGAGAUCAGCUGGAAGAGUCACGUGUCUGCUUUUCCCCUAACGAGGCAGGAAAAAAACGCUUCCCUCGUGGGCCCUGGCAGCUGGCUCCUGGGGUACGUCACAGUCACACCCCCUAAGCAAGACGCAGAGUCUCAAGCUGGCAGGGGGCGUCUGAGAUCAGCCAGCCCGGCCUCUCAGUUUACGGUUGGGAACAGACGCAGGUCCGGAACAGACGCAGGGCGGUUGGUCGGGCUGCCCAAGGUCACAGAGCCCGGGAGGGGAGGGGUAGGCACAGUGGAAACAGUGAGCGCACGUGAGCCCGACCGCGCCCAGGCCUGUGGUUCCCAGGUACGAGGCUCAGAGAGGUAGGUGGGUGACCUCGCCAACGCCCUCUCCAGGCAGCCGAGCCAGGAGGGAACUCCGGGCACCUGAAGUUACCUACCAGCUUUCCUUUGGACCAACAGCACCCUUCAGGGACAUGCUCAAGAUCCCCGAAUAGUCACCGCCUCCCCUGUGCCAGAAUGAGAUGAACCCAGCUGUUCUUCGGGACCUUUGUGAGUUCCAGCCUUCGGGUUGACAAGACUUGGUCACCUGGACCCCUGAGGUUUCGCCAUCACUACUAGGAGAGCAGCCAUGCGCACGCUCAGGAGGUCACGCGUCCAGGAGAUCAGAGGCCACCGUCCUGGUUGAUGACACCCCAGAAGCACAAACUCCGUCUCACUGGGAGGCUUUGCACAUCAUCAAAGGGCAAGCAAGUGACCCGCAGAGGCUUGGACGGUUCCCGGAAAAGGGCUUAGCUCAACUGCACGGCAAAGAGAUAGACUUCUGUCUGGGGCCUGGACACAACCCACAGCAGAUGCCUCAGCCCUGCAGGGGUCAGGGCCAGUUUCUGAAC